This 94-nucleotide transfer RNA is filed under the name Deltaproteobacteria bacterium. RNAcentral describes it as "tRNA-Ser". It matches the Rfam family "tRNA". Rfam says of the family: Transfer RNA (tRNA) molecules are approximately 80 nucleotides in length. Their secondary structure includes four short double-helical elements and three loops (D, anti-codon, and T loops). RNAcentral also lists the same sequence under 3 other names. The record is from RNAcentral. Lineage: Bacteria; Pseudomonadati; Myxococcota; Myxococcia.
GGAGAGAUGUCCGAGUUGGCCGAAGGAACACGACUGGAAAUCGUGUGUGCUGCUAAUACCGGCACCGUGGGUUCGAAUCCCACUCUCUCCGCCA